Molecule: long non-coding RNA, 331 nt
Organism: Dicentrarchus labrax (European seabass)
Lineage: Eukaryota; Metazoa; Chordata; Actinopteri; Moronidae
Exons: 3
Source: RefSeq, a predicted model, not a curated record
CAUAGACCUGGAGACAGGUUAUAGCAGUGAGAGCACCAUCAGGGUAGGUGUUGAACAAACAUUGAUAGCAGCCUUCAUCCUGCUCUGUCAGGUUCCUGAUAACUAUGGAGUUGUUCUGCAGUCCAGCAUCUUUAAACUCCACUUUAUCAAUAAAGUCAGGAUUCACUCUUGGACCAAAGGGUUUGCUGGAAGUAGCAAGAGUCUUCUCUCCCUCAGGUUUCCACCAUGUGACUUGAACAACAUCUUUAUUUUGCAUCAGCUGACAGUUUAAAUGAGCCUCUUCUCCCACUGCUGCCAUCACAGUCUGCUGUGUCUGUACCAGAGCUGUUAG